RNAcentral lists this ribosomal RNA (600 nucleotides) under uncultured Actinomycetes bacterium. Its description in RNAcentral is "bacterial SSU rRNA". It matches the Rfam family "Bacterial small subunit ribosomal RNA", at positions 252 to 866 of the family's 1533-position model. Lineage: Bacteria; Bacillati; Actinomycetota; Actinomycetes. The record is from RNAcentral.
GUGAGGUAACGGCUCACCAAGGCAUCGACGGGUAGCUGGUCUGAGAGGAUGAUCAGCCACACUGGGACUGAGACACGGCCCAGACUCCUACGGGAGGCAGCAGUAGGGAAUCUUGCGCAAUGGGCGAAAGCCUGACGCAGCAACGCCGCGUGGGGGAUGACGGCCUUCGGGUUGUAAACCCCUUUCAGCAGGGACGAAAAUGACGGUACCUGCAGAAGAAGCUCCGGCCAACUACGUGCCAGCAGCCGCGGUAAUACGUAGGGAGCAAGCGUUGUCCGGAAUUAUUGGGCGUAAAGAGCUCGUAGGCGGUUCGGUAAGUCGGGUGUGAAAAUCCAGGGCUCAACCCUGGGACGCCACCCGAUACUGCUGUGACUAGAGUCCGGUAGAGGAGCGUGGAAUUCCUGGUGUAGCGGUGAAAUGCGCAGAUAUCAAGAGGAACACCAGCGGCGAAGGCGGCGCUCUGGGCCGGUACUGACGCUGAGGAGCGAAAGCAUGGGGAGCAAACAGGAUUAGAUACCCUGGUAGUCCAUGCCGUAAACGUUGGGCACUAGGUAUGGGGUCUUAUCAACGGAUUCCGUGCCGUAGCUAACGCAUUAAGUG